Molecule: long non-coding RNA, 846 nt
Organism: Carya illinoinensis
Lineage: Eukaryota; Viridiplantae; Streptophyta; Magnoliopsida; Fagales; Juglandaceae
Exons: 2
Source: RefSeq, a predicted model, not a curated record
AAAAGAUGCACGAGGAAAAGCUACCACGAGUGGCAACUCCCAGCCAAAGACUGUUAGUUGGGAAUGGAAAAUUGGAAACUUUUACGAUGAACUUCAAGAAGAAGAUAAGCAUUAUGUCGCCACACCUAGCUAGCUAGUCAGUUCACAAACAUAAUCAGCUGGAAAAUUUUAAUCCACAAAACUACUAUACCAAUUAAAGUCAGUAGUGGUGGUGGAUGAGCGUAAUUUACAGAAGCUAGCAGAGAAUUAAAGACGAGAAUAGAAUGCAAGAGAGAAGAAAAUUAGGCAGGGAUGAGCUUGGGAGCAGAGAUAGUAAUGGCGGUGGUGGGGUUGUGGGCACUUAGUUUAAGAGGAAUGCUGAUGAGAUACGCAGGGGAGAUGGCGGAAAAGAUGGUCCACGCAAUUCAACGGAUUAUGAUCAGAUGCAGUACUAGGCCUUCCUAAUUUGCUUUCUCAUCUGCCUAAUCUUCCUUGCAUGCUCAACUACUACAUAAUUUCUUCGCCGGGAGGCCAUGGCGAAGCUUUCAAGGAGUUCGAGGAAUGAUCGCUGUAAUGCUAGCUGGUAUUUCUGAGGAUUGAGGGAAGCUAGCUACAGAUCUGCUCAUGAUCGGCAUAGUUUUGGACCUACCUAAUACGCGUAUUCGUCAUUGUCGAAAAAAGAUCAACACCACAUGCGACGUUAUAAACGACGUUAAUGGUCUUGUCGUUGGAGCUCAAUUUAAAGUUGAGAACAAUAGAUACAUACAGUACAUUUUACAAUAUUUAUUGUAUCUGAUUAAGUUUCUUAGACAAUAUUAACUAUAUUUUAAUAAAGAGUAAUGCUACUUAUCAUUCAAAUUUCUAUCA